Lepisosteus oculatus (spotted gar) is the source of this 309-nucleotide non-coding RNA. The record is from RefSeq and is a predicted model, not a curated record. NCBI's taxonomy places the organism in Eukaryota, Metazoa, Chordata, Actinopteri, Semionotiformes, Lepisosteidae.
GCCUGGUCCAUGUCGCUCAGCCAGCGCAGGGGGGUGCCGGGCUGCUGGGAGGAGUUCGCUGUGGCGCGGAGAGAGUGAGACGGAGCCGACCCGUUGCAGCGCGGGCCGCGGGUCAGCGGGUCGAGGCGCCCCACUCACCCAUGAGGUGCGCGGCCGGGUUCUGGGGCAGCUGUCCCAUCUGCUUCAGGGUCUGGACGGCUGCAGAGAGAGAGGACCGGGUCCGAGGGCCGCAGACGCCCCAGGGCAGGAAGGUGGCGGGUUCAAGUCCAGAGGAGCCCGUGAGCCGGUCGGGGUACGCCGCACGCCUGG